Schistocerca americana (American grasshopper) is the source of this 234-nucleotide long non-coding RNA. RefSeq lists it as uncharacterized. The transcript has 3 exons. NCBI's taxonomy places the organism in Eukaryota, Metazoa, Arthropoda, Insecta, Orthoptera, Acrididae. The record is from RefSeq and is a predicted model, not a curated record.
CAGGUACUUCUUUUGGCCGGAAGGGUUUCUAAGAGGAAGCAUCAAGAACAGUUCCAGGGUGAGCAAUUAUUUGGUUUCCGGCUUGACUUCUCAUCAGAGAUGAAUAAUUAGCAGCGAGUGAUUAACAUUCCAACAUACAACUCACAUCUCGAAGGCAUCCCGGCUUGACUUCCUGCCCGAGAUGAACGUCUGACGGCUGGCGGUUAUCAGUCAACAACAAUUCUAUUCAGUUCU